GACAGAGGGUGCAAACGUUGUCCGGAAUUACUGGGCGUAAAGCGCGUGUAGGCGGCCCUGCAAGUCGGAUGUGAAAUCCCACGGCUCAACCGUGGAAGUGCAUUCGAAACUGCAGGGCUAGAGUCCUGGAGAGGAAGGUGGAAUGCUUGGUGUAGAGGUGAAAUUCGUAGAUAUCAAGCGGAACACCGGUGGCGAAGGCGGCCUUCUGGACAGUGACUGACGCUGAGACGCGAAAGCGUGGGGAGCAAACAGG
RNAcentral lists this ribosomal RNA (253 nucleotides) under uncultured bacterium. RNAcentral describes it as "partial 16S ribosomal RNA". It matches the Rfam family "Bacterial small subunit ribosomal RNA", at positions 524 to 776 of the family's 1533-position model. The record is from RNAcentral.